RNAcentral lists this ribosomal RNA (708 nucleotides) under Mucor hiemalis. RNAcentral's name for it is "eukaryotic LSU rRNA". It matches the Rfam family "Eukaryotic large subunit ribosomal RNA", at positions 36 to 649 of the family's 3401-position model. Lineage: Eukaryota; Fungi; Mucoromycota; Mucoromycetes; Mucorales; Mucoraceae. The record is from RNAcentral.
AAGCAUAUCAAUAAGCGGAGGAAAAGAAAAUAACAAUGAUUUCCCUAGUAACGGCGAGUGAAGAGGAAAGAGCUCAAAGUUGGAACCUGUUUGGCUUAGCUAAACCGGAUUGUAAACUGUAGAAGUGUUUUCCAGACACGCCUGGUAAAAAAGUCCUUUGGAACAGGGCAUCAUAGAGGGUGAGAAUCCCGUCAUUGGCCAGAGCUGUUGUCUUUUGUGAUACAUUUUCAAAGAGUCAGGUUGUUUGGGAAUGCAGCCUAAAUUGGGUGGUAAAUCUCACCUAAAGCUAAAUAUUUGCGAGAGACCGAUAGCGAACAAGUACCGUGAGGGAAAGAUGAAAAGAACUUUGAAAAGAGAGUUAAACAGUAUGUGAAAUUGUUAAAAGGGAACCGUUUGGAGCCAGACUGGCUUAACUGUAAUCAAUCUAGGCUUUGGCCUGGAUGCACUUGCGGUUUAUGCCGGCCAACGACAGUUUUGUUUGAGGGAAAAAAUUACAUUGAAUGUGGCCCUUCGGGGUGUUAUAGCUUUGUAAAAAAUACCUUGGACUGGACUGAGGAACGCAGUGAAUGCCUUUAGGCAAGAUUGCUGGGUGCUUUCGCUAAUAAAUGCUAGAAUUUCUGCUUCGGGUGGUGCUAGUGUUUAAAGGAGGAACUCGCUUAGUAUAUUUUUUAUUCGCUUAGGUUGUUGGCUUAAUGACUCUAAAUGACC